Molecule: ribosomal RNA, 172 nt
Filed under: uncultured Brevundimonas sp.
Lineage: Bacteria; Pseudomonadati; Pseudomonadota; Alphaproteobacteria; Caulobacterales; Caulobacteraceae
Description: partial 16S ribosomal RNA
Rfam family: Bacterial small subunit ribosomal RNA
Source: RNAcentral
ACUCCUACGGGAGGCAGCAGUGGGGAAUCUUGCGCAAUGGGUGAAAGCCUGACACAGCCAUGCCGCGUGAAUGAUAAAGGUCCUAGGAUUGUAAAAUUCUUUCACCGGGGACGAUAAUGACGGUACCGGGAGAAGAAGAGCCGGCUAACUUCGUGCCAGCAGCCGCGGUAAU